Molecule: ribosomal RNA, 155 nt
Filed under: Pelargonium glabriphyllum
Lineage: Eukaryota; Viridiplantae; Streptophyta; Magnoliopsida; Geraniales; Geraniaceae
Description: 5.8S ribosomal RNA
Rfam family: 5.8S ribosomal RNA
About the family: 5.8S ribosomal RNA (5.8S rRNA) is a component of the large subunit of the eukaryotic ribosome. It is transcribed by RNA polymerase I as part of the 45S precursor that also contains 18S and 28S rRNA.
Source: RNAcentral
UCGGCAACGGAUAUCUCGSUCUCGCAUCGAUGAAGAACGUAGCGAAAUGCGAUACUUGGUGUGAAUUGCAGAAUCCCGUGAACCAUCCGAGUUUUUGAACGCAAGUUGCGCCCGAAGCCAUUAGGCCGAGGGCACGCCUGCCUGGGCCUCGCGCU